UACGAAAGGCGCAAGCAUUAAACAUAUGAUUUGGUGUAAAGUGUUUUUUUCAACAAUAGACUGUAUUUUUACGUGUUUUGCAAAAGUUUAAAUUCAUUAUUUAAAAAUGCAUUUUAUACAAUAAUACUAGAGUAAAAUAGAGGGCAACAGAAAAUCAUUUCAGUAUGGGGUAAAAUCUCGUUAUGAUAGAAUGCCAGCGGCGAAAGCGGUUGUCUGGAUUUUUACUGACGUUUAAAAACGAAGGCUUGGGUAGCGAACAGG
RNAcentral lists this ribosomal RNA (261 nucleotides) under uncultured bacterium. RNAcentral describes it as "partial 16S ribosomal RNA". It matches the Rfam family "Bacterial small subunit ribosomal RNA", at positions 524 to 776 of the family's 1533-position model. The record is from RNAcentral.